RNAcentral lists this ribosomal RNA (401 nucleotides) under uncultured bacterium. Its description in RNAcentral is "bacterial SSU rRNA". It matches the Rfam family "Bacterial small subunit ribosomal RNA", at positions 28 to 429 of the family's 1533-position model. The record is from RNAcentral.
GACGAACGCUGGCGGCGUGCUUAACACAUGCAAGUCGAACGGUGAGGAGGAGCUUGCUCCUCCGAUCAGUGGCGAACGGGUGAGUAACACGUGAGUAACCUGCCCCAGACCCUGGGAUAACAGUUGGAAACAGCUGCUAAUACCGGAUACGAGACGGAGAGGCAUCUCUACCGUCUGGAAAGAUUUAUCGGUCUGGGAUGGACUCGCGGCCUAUCAGCUUGUUGGUGAGGUAAAAGGCUCACCAAGGCGACGACGGGUAGCCGGCCUGAGAGGGCGACCGGCCACACUGGGACUGAGACACGGCCCAGACUCCUACGGGAGGCAGCAGUGGGGAAUAUUGCACAAUGGGCGAAAGCCUGAUGCAGCGACGCCGCGUGAGGGAUGACGGCCUCGGUUGUAAC